RNAcentral lists this ribosomal RNA (370 nucleotides) under uncultured bacterium. Its description in RNAcentral is "bacterial SSU rRNA". It matches the Rfam family "Bacterial small subunit ribosomal RNA", at positions 527 to 896 of the family's 1533-position model. The record is from RNAcentral.
GUAGGGUGCGAGCGUUAAUCGGAAUUACUGGGCGUAAAGCGUGCGCAGGCGGUUUUGUAAGCCAGAUGUGAAAUCCCCGGGCUUAACCUGGGAAUGGCAUUUGGGACUGCAAGGCUGGAGUGUGGCAGAGGAGACUGGAAUUCCUGGUGUAGCAGUGAAAUGCGUAGAUAUCAGGAGGAAUACCGAUGGCGAAGGCAGGUCUCUGGGCUGACACUGACGCUCGUGCACGAAAGCGUGGGGAGCAAACAGGAUUAGAUACCCUGGUAGUCCACGCCCUAAACGAUGUCGACUGGUUGUUGGGGGUUUGACACUCUCAGUAACGAAGCUAACGCGUGAAGUCGACCGCCUGGGGAGUACGGCCGCAAGGUUA